Molecule: ribosomal RNA, 42 nt
Filed under: Ceratocystis albifundus
Lineage: Eukaryota; Fungi; Ascomycota; Sordariomycetes; Microascales; Ceratocystidaceae
Description: partial 18S ribosomal RNA
Source: RNAcentral
GUAACAAGGUCUCCGUUGGGUGACCAGCGGGGGGGAUCAUUA